GCUGCGCCCCGGGAGAAAGUCGAUGACGGCAAAACCGCUGUGACUUAUCCUGGAAACUAGCAGACCGCGCAGCUUUCUCACCUCUGUUUCCUGUGGUUUCGCUGACUUUACCGAGACCAAGAGUUGACCGCUAAACUUCUGAAUGAAAUGUAGACAUCUAGAAAAGUGCACACAUGCGUAUACAAAAGCUCAAACGGACUUUGAGGCCAAUGCAGUACACUAUGUGUAUAAUGUGUGUGCAGGUAGGUUUCAUCCUUUAUCAACGACAUCAUUUUAAGGCACUCAAACAUUGCACAGGUCAUCUCUUCACAGGAUCUCAGCAGGGAACCAAAUCAGGGCCCCCGCCACCUGCCAUGACUGUCUAGACCUCUCUCCGCUCUGUCACACAGGCAGGCAUUGAAACGCAGCUCCUGGAAAUGGGUUCCUACAGCUCUGUCUUCCAUGGGGUUUUAAUCGAGUCAGGAUUAAAUGUUGACCUUCAUGAGAUAAUUCAAAUAAACAAGCCUCUGUUGAGAACAUUCUAACCUGUCGGGCAGGACGAUGGAAAAGCUGCGGAGAGGCACACAAAAGAAAGGAGGGUGUUUCUCAGACUCUUUGCAGCUUGGACACCUUCAAACCCUCAGAAAACAUUCUCCAAGGGGUGGGAGAACUGGGAGACUGGAAUUGACACGUAUAACAGAUUGCCACUAUGUUUAAGAUAGAUGACUAAUGAGAACCUACUGUAGAGCACAGGGAAUUCUCCUCAAUGCCCUGUGGUGACCUAAAUGGGCAGCAAAUCCAAAAAUGAGGGGAUAUAUGUAUAUGUAUAGCUGAUUCACUUCAUUGUACAGCAAAAACUGACACAACAUUGAAAUACAA
Bos taurus (domestic cattle) is the source of this 858-nucleotide long non-coding RNA. NCBI's taxonomy places the organism in Eukaryota, Metazoa, Chordata, Mammalia, Artiodactyla, Bovidae. The record is from Ensembl.